ACACCUCAACUCUCACGGUCUCCACCGUGAUGAGCUUGGACUUUGGAGGUCUUGCUGGUCCGCCGUCAGCUCCUCUCAAAUGAAUCAGCUUACCAGUGUUUGGUGGCACCCCAGGUGUGAUAACUAUCUACGCUUGCGGUUUUCCACCAGGUAACCUCCAGCGAUGGAGGUUCGCUGGGGCUCACAAAUGUCUCUCUUCGGUGAGGACAGCUUCUGAAC
Molecule: unclassified non-coding RNA, 219 nt
Filed under: uncultured Tomentella
Lineage: Eukaryota; Fungi; Basidiomycota; Agaricomycetes; Thelephorales; Thelephoraceae
Description: sequence contains ITS2
Source: RNAcentral